GACGAACGCUGGCGGCGUGCCUAAUACAUGCAAGUAGAACGCUGAAGAGAGGAGCUUGCUCUUCUUGGAUGAGUUGCGAACGGGUGAGUAACGCGUAGGUAACCUGCCUUGUAGCGGGGGAUAACUAUUGGAAACGAUAGCUAAUACCGCAUAACAAUGGAUGACACAUGUCAUUUAUUUGAAAGGGGCAAUUGCUCCACUACAAGAUGGACCUGCGUUGUAUUAGCUAGUAGGUGAGGUAACGGCUCACCUAGGCGACGAUACAUAGCCGACCUGAGAGGGUGAUCGGCCACACUGGGACUGAGACACGGCCCAGACUCCUACGGGAGGCAGCAGUAGGGAAUCUUCGGCAAUGGGGGCAACCCUGACCGAGCAACGCCGCGUGAGUGAAGAAGGUUUUCGGAUCGUAAAGCUCUGUUGUAAGUCAAGAACGAGUGUGAGAGUGGAAAGUUCACACUGUGACGGUAGCUUACCAGAAAGGGACGGCUAACUACGUGCCAGCAGCCGCGGUAAUACGUAGGUCCCGAGCGUUGUCCGGAUUUAUUGGGCGUAAAGCGAGCGCAGGCGGUUUGAUAAGUCUGAAGUUAAAGGCUGUGGCUCAACCAUAGUUCGCUUUGGAAACUGUCAAACUUGAGUGCAGAAGGGGAGAGUGGAAUUCCAUGUGUAGCGGUGAAAUGCGUAGAUAUAUGGAGGAACACCGGUGGCGAAAGCGGCUCUCUGGUCUGUAACUGACGCUGAGGCUCGAAAGCGUGGGGAGCGAACAGGAUUAGAUACCCUGGUAGUCCACGCCGUAAACGAUGAGUGCUAGGUGUUGGAUCCUUUCCGGGAUUCAGUGCCGCAGCUAACGCAUUAAGCACUCCGCCUGGGGAGUACGACCGCAAGGUUGAAACUCAAAGGAAUUGACGGGGGCCCGCACAAGCGGUGGAGCAUGUGGUUUAAUUCGAAGCAACGCGAAGAACCUUACCAGGUCUUGACAUCCCGAUGCUAUUUCUAGAGAUAGAAAGUUACUUCGGUACAUCGGUGACAGGUGGUGCAUGGUUGUCGUCAGCUCGUGUCGUGAGAUGUUGGGUUAAGUCCCGCAACGAGCGCAACCCCUAUUGUUAGUUGCCAUCAUUCAGUUGGGCACUCUAGCGAGACUGCCGGUAAUAAACCGGAGGAAGGUGGGGACGACGUCAAAUCAUCAUGCCCCUUAUGACCUGGGCUACACACGUGCUACAAUGGUUGGUACAACGAGUUGCGAGUCGGUGACGGCAAGCUAAUCUCUUAAAGCCAAUCUCAGUUCGGAUUGUAGGCUGCAACUCGCCUACAUGAAGUCGGAAUCGCUAGUAAUCGCGGAUCAGCACGCCGCGGUGAAUACGUUCCCGGGCCU
This 1369-nucleotide ribosomal RNA is filed under the name uncultured bacterium. RNAcentral describes it as "bacterial SSU rRNA". It matches the Rfam family "Bacterial small subunit ribosomal RNA", at positions 28 to 1381 of the family's 1533-position model. The record is from RNAcentral.